Dipodomys spectabilis (banner-tailed kangaroo rat) is the source of this 141-nucleotide long non-coding RNA. RefSeq lists it as uncharacterized. The transcript has 3 exons. The record is from RefSeq and is a predicted model, not a curated record. NCBI's taxonomy places the organism in Eukaryota, Metazoa, Chordata, Mammalia, Rodentia, Heteromyidae.
CUGUCUCCAAGUGGGAUUACAGAUGUGAGUCACCAGGACCCAGCCUAAUUAAUGUUUUGAUUCUUUUAUCUCUAAUCUGAGAUAGCUUGUGGCUAUCCUCUUGUUACCAUUUAUAUCUUGCACUAAACUGAAGUCCUUAUU